Molecule: long non-coding RNA, 641 nt
Filed under: Mustela putorius furo (domestic ferret)
Lineage: Eukaryota; Metazoa; Chordata; Mammalia; Carnivora; Mustelidae
Description: lncRNA (ENSMPUG00000026245.1)
Source: RNAcentral
GCACCCAGUCAUUCACUGAGUUUCUGCUGCUGUAAUUUUUUUGUUCAUUUGUUUCCUAGAUGUGUUUCCUGAUUCAUUGAAGAUUAAUACGUGUGAAAAUGAUUCAUCAAAUGCUGAACUGAAGAAUCCUGCUUUGUUGCUAGUUAAGGGUGCAAGGUGGAAGACCACUGAAAGCCUGCAGGAGUGUAAGGAUUGUAAGAGGAAGCUCCAUUCCGAUGUGCUGCUUUUUGUCAAUCACAUCGGACCACUGAUUUACAACUUGAAUUUCUCUAAGUAGACACAACCCCAAGAAGAUUGUCAUUGGAACCUGGGAACACAAGAAAGACAUGGCAUGAUUCCAUUUGAAGUAAACUUACCUGUUUACGAAGAGAAAACCAUAUUUUCUUCUUAUAUGUUUGUUAUCAUGGAUGCAGAGAAGAUGCAAAAAAGCUUCUAGCGGAUUUUGAAAAAUCCGCUUAAUGCUUAAAAUGGAAGAUGCAAAAGUAAUUUCAAUGCUAAAGCCGCACUUGUGAUCAAGAAUUAUUAAUAAUAUGAGUAUCUAUAUAAUCUUUAAAAUAAUUUCAUAUUCUGUGUGUAAUGUAUUACAGUGAUCGUAUUCUGAUUUUGGAUAAAAGUAUUUUAAAGCACCUGUCGUGAUUUCC